Molecule: ribosomal RNA, 1542 nt
Filed under: Haemophilus influenzae
Lineage: Bacteria; Pseudomonadati; Pseudomonadota; Gammaproteobacteria; Pasteurellales; Pasteurellaceae
Description: bacterial LSU rRNA
Rfam family: Bacterial large subunit ribosomal RNA
Source: RNAcentral
AAGUGCGAAUGCUGACAUAAGUAACGAUAAAACGGGUGAAAAACCCGUUCGCCGGAAGACCAAGGGUUCCUGUCCAACGUUAAUCGGGGCAGGGUGAGUCGGCUCCUAAGGCGAGGCUGAAAAGCGUAGUCGAUGGGAAACAGGUUAAUAUUCCUGUACUUGGUAAAGCUGCGAUGUGGGGACGGAGUAGGUUAGGUUAUCGCACUGUUGGAUAUGUGCGUUUAAGUUGGUAGGUGGGAAGUUUAGGCAAAUCCGGACUUCCUUAACACAGAGAGAUGAUGACGAGGCUCUACGGAGCUGAAGUAACUGAUACCACACUUCCAGGAAAAGCCACUAAGCGAAAGGCUUUACUAAACCGUACUGAAAACCGACACAGGUGGUCAGGUAGAGAAUACUCAGGCGCUUGAGAGAACUCGGGUGAAGGAACUAGGCAAAAUAGCACCGUAACUUCGGGAGAAGGUGCGCCGGCGUAGAUUGUAAGGGCUAGCCCCUGAAGGUUGAACCGGUCGAAGAUACCAGCUGGCUGCAACUGUUUAUUAAAAACACAGCACUCUGCAAACACGAAAGUGGAGGUAUAGGGUGUGAUGCCUGCCCGGUGCUGGAAGGUUAAUUGAUGGUGUAAUCGCAAGAGAAGCACCUGAUCGAAGCCCCAGUAAACGGCGGCCGUAACUAUAACGGUCCUAAGGUAGCGAAAUUCCUUGUCGGGUAAGUUCCGACCUGCACGAAUGGCAUAAUGAUGGCCAGGCUGUCUCCACCCGAGACUCAGUGAAAUUGAAAUCGCCGUGAAGAUGCGGUGUACCCGCGGCUAGACGGAAAGACCCCGUGAACCUUUACUAUAGCUUGACACUGAACAUUGAAUUUUGAUGUGUAGGAUAGGUGGGAGACUUAGAAGUAGUCACGCCAGUGAUUAUGGAGUCGACCUUGAAAUACCACCCUUUAACGUUUGAUGUUCUAACGAAGAUGACGAAACGUGGUCUCGGACAGUGUCUGGUGGGUAGUUUGACUGGGGCGGUCUCCUCCCAAAGCGUAACGGAGGAGCACGAAGGUUUGCUAAUCACGGUCGGACAUCGUGAGGUUAGUGCAAUGGUAUAAGCAAGCUUAACUGCGAGACAGACAAGUCGAGCAGGUACGAAAGUAGGUCAUAGUGAUCCGGUGGUUCUGAAUGGAAGGGCCAUCGCUCAACGGAUAAAAGGUACUCCGGGGAUAACAGGCUGAUACCGCCCAAGAGUUCAUAUCGACGGCGGUGUUUGGCACCUCGAUGUCGGCUCAUCACAUCCUGGGGCUGAAGUAGGUCCCAAGGGUAUGGCUGUUCGCCAUUUAAAGUGGUACGCGAGCUGGGUUUAGAACGUCGUGAGACAGUUCGGUCCCUAUCUGCCGUGGGCGUAGGAGAAUUGGUUGGGGCUGCUCCUAGUACGAGAGGACCGGAGUGGACGCACCACUGGUGUUCCGGUUGUGUCGCCAGACGCAUUGCCGGGUAGCUAAGUGCGGAAGAGAUAAGUGCUGAAAGCAUCUAAGCACGAAACUUGCCAAGAGAUGAGUUCU